RNAcentral lists this ribosomal RNA (370 nucleotides) under uncultured bacterium. RNAcentral's name for it is "bacterial SSU rRNA". It matches the Rfam family "Bacterial small subunit ribosomal RNA", at positions 527 to 896 of the family's 1533-position model. The record is from RNAcentral.
GGAGGGAGCUAGCGUUGUUCGGAAUUACUGGGCGUAAAGCGCGCGUAGGCGGCUUUGUAAGUUAGAGGUGAAAGCCCGGAGCUCAACUCCGGAACUGCCUUUAAGACUGCAUCGCUUGAAUCCAGGAGAGGUGAGUGGAAUUCCGAGUGUAGAGGUGAAAUUCGUAGAUAUUCGGAAGAACACCAGUGGCGAAGGCGGCUCACUGGACUGGUAUUGACGCUGAGGUGCGAGAGCGUGGGGAGCAAACAGGAUUAGAUACCCUGGUAGUCCACGCCGUAAACGAUGAUAACUAGCUGUCAGGGGCCAUGGGCUUUUGGUGGCGCAGCUAACGCAUUAAGUUAUCCGCCUGGGGAGUACGGCCGCAAGGUUA